CCUACGGGAGGCAGCAGUCGAGAAUCAUUCACAAUGGGGGAAACCCUGAUGGUGCGACGCCGCGUGGGGGAAUGAAGGUCUUCGGAUUGUAAACCCCUGUCAUGUGGGAGCAAAUUAAAAAGAUAGUACCACAAGAGGAAGAGACGGCUAACUCUGUGCCAGCAGCCGCGGUAAUACAGAGGUCUCAAGCGUUGUUCGGAAUCACUGGGCGUAAAGCGUGCGUAGGCGGUUUCGUAAGUCGUGUGUGAAAGGCGCGGGCUCAGCCCGCAGACGGCACAUGAUACUGCGAGACUAGAGUAAGGGAGGGGGAACCGGAAUUCUCGGUGUAGCAGUGAAAUGCGUAGAUAUCGAGAGGAACACUCGUGGCGAAGGCGGGUUCCUGGACAUUAACUGACGCUGAGGCACGAAGGCCAGGGGAGCGAAAGGGAUUAGAUACCCCGGUAGUC
RNAcentral lists this ribosomal RNA (446 nucleotides) under uncultured bacterium. RNAcentral describes it as "partial 16S ribosomal RNA". It matches the Rfam family "Bacterial small subunit ribosomal RNA", at positions 338 to 795 of the family's 1533-position model. The record is from RNAcentral.